AGUACGGAAUCGAUAGAACCACGGUUUUCGAGUAAUUCGAGGUUGUACACAGCCAUAAUGUUUACCAGUCUCCAAUCUAGAAAUAUCCCAUUGCCUCUGCCAUGUAUUAAACAUAUCAGAUAGCGCACAACUCAAUAGCCUCAAGAAUAGCAACUGCCUCACCUGUGAAAAUGGACGCUUGAGGAGGACAUUUAAAUGGAAGAACAAUAUUGUACCGUGGAAUCCACACCGCUGCUCCCACACAUCUUGCAGGAUCCACCUUAGAAGCGUCAGUAAAGCUGGUAAGUAAUCUUGCCAUUUAUCUAAAAAUUUAUUAAAUUUGUUGUUUGCUCCUGGAUCAUCUUUGAAAAUUCCUAUAUCUAAUAUGACCUUUGGUGAGUAUAUUAGGGUCUCAAACGCCACUUCAAAUAAAGGGUUAGCACCAGAUUGAUAUAAACUGGGGUGGAUAUUAAUUAAUUUUGAAAAAGAAAUUACUAUUCUGGGAAAAGCUUUAUAUGUCCAAUAUCUGCUUUCAGUGACCUCCAGUGCCAGCGCCUGCAAGCGUGGAAGCAGCAAGUGGUUGUUGUAAGAGCUGGCUUUGAUCAAGAACCUGUCGGCUAGGUAUUGUCUGCGUAGAGACAACGGCGGUUCAACACCUUCCACCUGCAUGCCAUUUUUGGGAGAGGGAAGCAUAGCACCUAGUAUGAUCCUUAAACAUUUAGCCUGUAUAAGAUCUAAUUUAUCUAGGCCAUCCUUAUUACAGGGUUCCAUUAAAAAUGACCCAUAGUCUAUAUGGCUACGUAUGAUGGCAUUGUAUAGUAGCUUCUGGCAAUAAGGAUGGGAGCCCCACCAGACACCUGACAAUGCUCGAAGAAUAUUAAUAUUUUUCUCACAUUUACCCAGUACAUAUUUGUGGUGUGUGGUGCCAGACAUUUUAUGAUCUAAAAUAACACCUAGAAAUUUAACUGACUCUUUAUUUGGAAUCAUCACACCACCAUAACAGACAUCUGCAUCAGGCAUGGUCCUUCUGCGACUGAAAGUCACUACACAGCUUUUUGUUGGCGAUAGGGUCAAACCAUGUUCAUCAAGCCAAUCCUUGAGGUAACCCAAAGCUGUGUUCAGACUAGCAGUGGCUUUGUCCAUUGACUUUGUUGAUGUGUAUA
Long non-coding RNA from Cydia fagiglandana, 1142 nucleotides. RefSeq lists it as uncharacterized. The transcript has 2 exons. The record is from RefSeq and is a predicted model, not a curated record. NCBI's taxonomy places the organism in Eukaryota, Metazoa, Arthropoda, Insecta, Lepidoptera, Tortricidae.